Molecule: ribosomal RNA, 440 nt
Filed under: uncultured bacterium
Lineage: Bacteria
Description: partial 16S ribosomal RNA
Rfam family: Bacterial small subunit ribosomal RNA
Source: RNAcentral
CUACGGGCUGCUCCAGUGGGGAAUAUUGCACAAUGGAGGAAACUCUGAUGCAGCAACGCCGCGUGGAGGAUGACACUUUUCGGAGCGUAAACUCCUUUUAUAUAGGAAGAAGAUGACGGUACUAUAUGAAUAAGCGCCGGCUAACUCCGGUGCCAGCAGCCGCGGUAAUACGGAGGGCGCAAGCGUUACUCGGAAUCACUGGGCGUAAAGAGAGUGUAGGCGGAUUAAAAAGUCAGAAGUGAAAUCCUAUAGCUUAACUAUAGAACUGCUUCUGAAACUCUUAAUCUAGAAUAUGGGAGAGGUAGAUGGAAUUUCUGGUGUAGGGGUAAAAUCCGUAGAGAUCAGAAGGAAUACCGAUUGCGAAGGCGAUCUACUAGAACAUUAUUGACGCUGAGACGCGAAAGCGUGGGGAGCAAACAGGAUUAGAUACCCCCGUAGUC